Molecule: unclassified non-coding RNA, 321 nt
Filed under: uncultured fungus
Lineage: Eukaryota; Fungi
Description: partial contains small subunit ribosomal RNA, internal transcribed spacer 1, and 5.8S ribosomal RNA
Rfam family: Eukaryotic small subunit ribosomal RNA (bases 1-73)
Source: RNAcentral
ACAAACUUGGUCAUUUAGAGGAAGUAAAAGUCGUAACAAGGUCUCCGUUGGUGAACCAGCGGAGGGAUCAUUACCGAGUCACGUACUCAAAUAACCCUUCUGUGGACCUGAAUAAACCGUUGCCUCGGCGGGCGGUCCCUCCCCCCCCACGUGGGGCGGGGACCAGACAGUCCGGUACGCCUUAGGGCGUCCCCCGGCGCCAGCCGCUGGCCCUAAGCAAUUAAACUCUAGUAACUUUACCUUCUGAGUUGUAAUGUAAAAAAUUAAGUCAAAACUUUCAACAACGGAUCUCUUGGCUCUGGCAUCGAUGAAGAACGCAGC